RNAcentral lists this ribosomal RNA (750 nucleotides) under Lactiplantibacillus plantarum. RNAcentral's name for it is "bacterial SSU rRNA". It matches the Rfam family "Bacterial small subunit ribosomal RNA", at positions 86 to 822 of the family's 1533-position model. Lineage: Bacteria; Bacillati; Bacillota; Bacilli; Lactobacillales; Lactobacillaceae. The record is from RNAcentral.
UUUGAGUGAGUGGCGAACUGGUGAGUAACACGUGGGAAACCUGCCCAGAAGCGGGGGAUAACACCUGGAAACAGAUGCUAAUACCGCAUAACAACUUGGACCGCAUGGUCCGAGUUUGAAAGAUGGCUUCGGCUAUCACUUUUGGAUGGUCCCGCGGCGUAUUAGCUAGAUGGUGGGGUAACGGCUCACCAUGGCAAUGAUACGUAGCCGACCUGAGAGGGUAAUCGGCCACAUUGGGACUGAGACACGGCCCAAACUCCUACGGGAGGCAGCAGUAGGGAAUCUUCCACAAUGGACGAAAGUCUGAUGGAGCAACGCCGCGUGAGUGAAGAAGGGUUUCGGCUCGUAAAACUCUGUUGUUAAAGAAGAACAUAUCUGAGAGUAACUGUUCAGGUAUUGACGGUAUUUAACCAGAAAGCCACGGCUAACUACGUGCCAGCAGCCGCGGUAAUACGUAGGUGGCAAGCGUUGUCCGGAUUUAUUGGGCGUAAAGCGAGCGCAGGCGGUUUUUUAAGUCUGAUGUGAAAGCCUUCGGCUCAACCGAAGAAGUGCAUCGGAAACUGGGAAACUUGAGUGCAGAAGAGGACAGUGGAACUCCAUGUGUAGCGGUGAAAUGCGUAGAUAUAUGGAAGAACACCAGUGGCGAAGGCGGCUGUCUGGUCUGUAACUGACGCUGAGGCUCGAAAGUAUGGGUAGCAAACAGGAUUAGAUACCCUGGUAGUCCAUACCGUAAACGAUGACUGCUAAGUG